AUCGCUUCUCGGCCUUUUGGCUAAGAUCAAGCGUAGUAUCUGUUCUUAUCAGUUUAGUAAAGUAGACAGGUCCUCUUGUCUUACAGUUCUGGAGGCUCAGUGCAGAUCCGAGGAUCCACACCUGGAGCUGUCCCUCCUGCUGGGAGUCCUCAGUGUACAGAGCAUCACUACGUGGGCGAUGGACUCCACCCUCA
This 194-nucleotide small nuclear RNA is filed under the name Cavia aperea (Brazilian guinea pig). RNAcentral's name for it is "U2 spliceosomal RNA (ENSCAPG00000000831.1)". The stretch from base 1 to 120 matches the Rfam family "U2 spliceosomal RNA". From Rfam's summary of the family: U2 is a small nuclear RNA (snRNA) component of the spliceosome (involved in pre-mRNA splicing). Complementary binding between U2 snRNA (in an area lying towards the 5' end but 3' to hairpin I) and the branchpoint sequence (BPS) of the intron results the bulging out of an unpaired adenosine, on the BPS, which initiates a nucleophilic attack at the intronic 5' splice site, thus starting the first of two transesterification reactions that mediate splicing. Lineage: Eukaryota; Metazoa; Chordata; Mammalia; Rodentia; Caviidae. The record is from RNAcentral.